This 436-nucleotide unclassified non-coding RNA is filed under the name Hevea brasiliensis (rubber tree). Lineage: Eukaryota; Viridiplantae; Streptophyta; Magnoliopsida; Malpighiales; Euphorbiaceae. The record is from RNAcentral.
AAGUAUGCAAUCUUGAAGAGCCAGAAAUAGGUCCAUUCGGAGGAGAGGAGAUUGUUUAGUUUCUUGUUUCUUGGAGAGCCAGCGCUUGUAUGAUCUAACUGUAUUUCGUCAUCGAUGAUAUUGGAGAAGAUGAGUUCGGAUAUCUGGAUGUGAGCUAGGAAGAUGAAAGAUAGAGGAAGAAUCAGGCUAAGAGUUAUCUGGCUGAAGAUCCUCCUCCAUGUGAAGAUGAUCUUGUAGGAUUCUUUGUAGAUGUCGAAAAUUCCAAGAAACUGCAUCUCUUCUUGUUCUCUAUCCAUGGCUAGAUGGUCAGUUUCUUGAAUGAUUUUCUUGGGAAAGGAGGAGGGUUGGGGGAGAAGGAAGAAUUGAACAGAUAAGAGGAUAGAAAAUGGUUAAGGACGAUGGACAAGAAGAUUGGACGGAAACUGCUAUAGAAAAC